CCUACGGGGGGCUGCAGUGAGGAAUAUUGGUCAAUGGGCGCGAGCCUGAACCAGCCAAGUAGCGUGAAGGAUGACGGCCCUACGGGUUGUAAACUUCUGUUAUAAGCGAGAAAGAUGAUGGUAACAUAUGAAUAAGGAUCGGCUAACUACGUGCCAGCAGCCGCGGUCAUACGGAGGAUCCGAGCAUUAUCCGGAGUGACUGGGGGUCAAGAGUUGCGUAGGUGGCAUAAUAAGUAGCUAGUGACAUCUGGUGGCUCAACCAUUCAGACUAUUAGCUAAACUGUUAAGCUCGAGACCGUUAGGGGUAACUGGAAUUUCUAGUGUAGGCGUGAAAUCCGUAGAUAUUAGCAGGAACACCAAUGGCGUAGGCAGGUUGCUGGGACGGUUCUGCCACUCAGGCACGAAAGCGUCGGGAGCAAACGGGAUUAGAUACCCGAGUAGUC
Molecule: ribosomal RNA, 443 nt
Filed under: uncultured bacterium
Lineage: Bacteria
Description: partial 16S ribosomal RNA
Rfam family: Bacterial small subunit ribosomal RNA
Source: RNAcentral